GCUUGCGGGCCUGCCACACUGAACACGCCGAAUCUUGUCUGAUCUCGGAAGCUAAGCAGGGUUGGGCCUGGUUAGAAGACCACCUGGGAAUACCAGGUGCUCUAAGCU
Molecule: ribosomal RNA, 108 nt
Filed under: Amphilophus citrinellus (Midas cichlid)
Lineage: Eukaryota; Metazoa; Chordata; Actinopteri; Cichliformes; Cichlidae
Source: RNAcentral